AGGAUUAACGCUGGCGGCGUGCCUAACACAUGCAAGUCGAACGAGGGGGGCAACCCCCGAGUGGCAGACGGGUGAGUAACGCGUGGUCAACCUACCCUAGAGUGGGGAAUAACUAGCCGAAAGGUUAGCUAAUACCGCAUGAUACGUUUUGGGACAUCCCAGGACGUUGAAAGGAGCAAUCCGCUCGAGGACGGGACCGCGUCCGAUUAGCUAGUUGGUGAGGUAACGGCCCACCAAGGCUCCGAUCGGUAGCUGGUUUGAGAGAGCGACCAGCCACACUGGGACUGAGAAACGGCCCAGACUCCUACGGGAGGCAGCAGUGAGGAAUUUUCCGCAAUGGGCGAAAGCCUGACGGAGCGACGCCGCGUGUGGGAAGAAGGCCUUCGGGUCGUAACCACUGUCGAAGGGGACUAUACUGAAGGUACCCUUGGAGGAAGCCCGGCUAACUACGUGCCAGCAGCCGC
This 464-nucleotide ribosomal RNA is filed under the name uncultured bacterium. Its description in RNAcentral is "SSU rRNA". It matches the Rfam family "Bacterial small subunit ribosomal RNA", at positions 26 to 518 of the family's 1533-position model. The record is from RNAcentral.